RNAcentral lists this transfer RNA (75 nucleotides) under Plotosus japonicus. RNAcentral's name for it is "tRNA-Leu". Lineage: Eukaryota; Metazoa; Chordata; Actinopteri; Siluriformes; Plotosidae. The record is from RNAcentral.
GCUUCUAAAGGAUAAUUAGCCAUCCGUUGGUCUUAGGAACCGAGGUGUACUCUUGGUGCAAUCCCAGUAGCAGCU